RNAcentral lists this ribosomal RNA (207 nucleotides) under uncultured bacterium. Its description in RNAcentral is "partial 16S ribosomal RNA". It matches the Rfam family "Bacterial small subunit ribosomal RNA", at positions 568 to 774 of the family's 1533-position model. The record is from RNAcentral.
CGCGUAGGCGGCCUGAUCAGUCGGAUGUGAAAGCCCUGGGCUUAACCUGGGAAUUGCAUUCGAUACUGUCAGGCUAGAGUAUGGGAGAGGGAAGUGGAAUUUCCGGUGUAGCGGUGAAAUGCGUAGAUAUCGGAAGGAACACCAGUGGCGAAGGCGACUUCCUGGCCCAAUACUGACGCUCAGGUGCGAAAGCGUGGGUAGCGAACA